GGGAGGAGGAGCUUCCGGUCCCGCCCCCUCACGCGUGCCCGCCCGCUUGAAGCCCUCGGAGUCUGGAGUGGCAGUGAGGGGUUUUGGUUUUUUUGGGAGCUUCGUUGCAUGGGAGAAGUUUUUCUCAAAUGUUUACAUUACCAGUGAAUACUGGAGAGGAGAAAGUGAAGCGUAGGCACAAUGCAUGCAAGGCGUUUGACUUCAGAGCCCUUUGAAGAUGUUCCAGGGUGUACUUACAUUUUAAACAAGAAUGCUGACAGAAGAUGAAGCAAGGAACAAUAGCUUCAUAUUCAAUUCAGGAAGAGUGAGUUGUUUUGUUUUUUUCCUGUUCAUCCUUCUGGUAUGUCAAAAAGGCCUGCUUCACAAAUACAUGGGACUAGACAGAGAGUAAGUGCAAUUUAUAAUUUCUAUUGUUCUACUGUCCUUGCUAAUUCUAGAUCUCUGUCUUUUCUCUUUGUAAGCAGAUCCUGGAAACUUAAUCCAAAGUAUCACAAAAUACUGAGUUGUACUGAAACAGCAGUUUACUGCUUGGGACAAAAUAUUAGUCAAGGAUGAAAUGACAACAGUUAACAGAACUAAGCUUGACCUGCUUUUUAGUUCUCAAAGGUCAUCAAAACUGGGUCAUAACUGGAGUUCAUGUAGAGCUUUCCUGGUUUACAGUGCAUGAAAGCAAAUUCAAAUUCUACUUGGCAGGUGUGCAUAACAUCAAACCUGCAGGCUUUAGAUUAUAGGGGCCAUUUAUAUGAAAUUAUUCUGAAUGAUUAUUGCAGGAAAUAAACUAAAAUUUAUGUGUAUCCUCUAUGUUUACAGAACAUUGCUGCCAAAUUAUAGUAAUUUAUAGCCAUUUUAAAACUGACUUUGAGCCCCACAAAUAUGAUCACAAAGCUUAUGAAAACUAGACAGUUAACACCUUGCUUGCUUGGGGGAAAAAAGUGCUCAUUUCGGCUCUUUUAGUGCAAAAUUUGUAACAUUAUUUUUCUUGGGCAAGUUAUAAAUCUAAGACAUCAUAGCUUUUUUUCACUUCUAUGUGUUGGGGAAUGUGACAUCCUUCUAUAGUGCAGCUUUCUAGCCAUGAAGUUUUUGAAAUUGUGAGAUGAUUAUUAUUUUGGAUCCUUAAUCAGAAAUUAGUGAGACAUUAACAUUCAAAGAAUGACAGUAAUUAUGUACUAACAGGAAAAUGACCAGAAAAGGAAAAUCUGUAGUAAGAAAUAUUGCAUCCCUGAAGAAAACACACACAGGCUUUGAAUGCUUAUAUUUUGCUGAGCUCCAUCAGUUUCCUGCAGUCAUUACAACUAAGAGAUCAGGUAUAAGCUGUUUUCAGGCAUUCACAAGCUUUGCUCUGUCCUUGCUGUUUGCUAAUAUAAUCUGCUGUUCUGAGAAGGGUACACACACAUGGGAGAAAAGAGUACGUCUUGAAUUUGGUAGGGCAGGACAAAGUUUGCCAGCUCAUUUCACAUGGACCCCUUCACAGUAUGAUAGUACUCAGAGGGUAGCAACUUCAUGUCUACUAAUAUGGAUUGAAUUCAAACUAGCAGACCAGAAAUUGAGUGAUUUAUUUUCCUUUACUAAUUCUUUCAACUAACCCAUUCUCUGUUUCCUGACUAGAUUAGAUUUGUCAUGCAAUAUGUCUGUGGCUAAACGAAUAUGUAUGAAGUGUGCACCAUUUGUUUUAGCAACUGAGCGACUGGUUAUGCAAAUUGCAAGCUGGAAACAUUUUCCACUUAGGCAGAUCUGCUUAUGAUGUUGCCUUUUUUUCCCAUUCAAUUCUUGGUAAGCAAUCCUGCUAAUAGGUAUCCACUCGAUUUGUAAGAAGCAAUUUGUUUAUUGUACUUCUGAAUUGAUAAGAAUUGAUAGUUUGUUCAAUAAGUCUUGUGGUCAUCCAGUCUGUAAUUCAGUUACCUAACAAGCACUAGACUAAGUCUCUUCCUUACCUGGCUGUAUAUUUAAUAAUUUUUUUAAUUAUUAGCAUAUUGACUUCCUUAGGCACAGCUUAUUUCCACACACAGUCUGUGAGUAUUUCUGCAAAUAACAGAAGCUCAGUGUUUCCAUGAGUAGUAACCACUCAUCUUCAUGUUCCUGGAAAAAUAGCCAGGGGGGAAUGAAGGAGGCCAGAACAAAUUACAAGCGGGAAUGCAUGAGUGUAUCUGUAGCUAUUAUUUUCCUGUUGUUUUGCUAUUCUUAGAAUUUCAGUUGUAUGCUUUUUAAAACAGAACAGACUUAAUGAGACAGAAGGACAAAGGUAAACACCUAACAGCUUUGGUGACAGAAGCAUGAUCUUCUUUAGUUCAGAGUUCAAAAGUUAUCUGUUGGGCAAAUAUUUGAACUACCAUUUAGUUUGUUUCUGAGGUUAUGAAAGAAGAACUGCUGAAUGCUUUACUUGUAAUGGAUAGGUUUAAAGCUCCCCAGAAAGUCUUGGUAAUCCAGCUAUUCAGUACUAAUUGUGACUAAUUGUGACACAAGUUUUUUACUCUUUCCUAGACAGUAUUUCAAUCUAGGAUGAGAAGAAUUUAUUACAGUGUGUCUCAAGAAAUGGAAUCUAAGUCAUGCUUUCUGAGCAGAAGCUCUGUAGUAUUUCCUUAAUAGCAAUUCACCUCAGGAGACUCCAUUUCGUAGAUUUGAACUUAAGUCUUUUGCAGCAUGCUUUAUUGAUAAUCUGAUAAGUACAAAAUAAUGUUUCUCCUCCACUUUUCUGUGUUCCUUGUGUGGGAGCUCUGCCAGUAAUGCAAAAGAGUAGUAAAGACCCCAGAUGGCUCAACUAAGAAACACCACUCACUAUGUUUUGUCAGUUCUCUUAAUUGUUAUACAUUCACUGUAAAACUCUCUGUCAAAAAAAGAAAAGAUUUUGAAUUACCACCAAUCACAGCUGAUCCAUUGAUUAAAGAUGCUAAGAUUUUUUAUGCCAUGAUAUUAAAUUUGAAAUGAAGAAUGUGGUACUUCUAAGCAGGAGGAGUGCUAGAUACGCACUCAAAAUUUGCAAAAUACGCUCAAUACUGAACUCUGGUUGGGAGUGUGAGAGGGAUAUGUGCCUAAUUCUGACAUUUAAUCUCACUUUCCUUUGAGUUUUCUGUUCUUUCUUCUCUAUGCUCUCUGAUAAGACAGAAGGACUAGAUUUUUCAUAACCAGAGGUGAGCUACAAGGGACAGGCUCUGCAGUUUUUUUUCUGUGUGAAGCAGGGUUUUGGAUAGCUGGCUGUUGAUUAAUACUGCCUAAAAUAAUGAUCUACUUCUUUAGUUCUUCAGAUCUGUCUUCAUUUCUGUCCUGUAAAUCUCCAGAUCUCAUGGAAAUAUAUCUGAGCGCAAUUCUUUUUUCUUGGACUGUUCUGGCACAGAUAUUAUGCUGUCAAACAGCUGGUUUGAUUUGUAUGGGGAAAGAGCAGCUCUAAAUUUACUGUGUGGGCUUUUUUUUUAACGGACUCGCCAGCCUACUCUUGUGCAACUAAGGCUUUUGAUUCAUUCUGCCACUCAGUGGAACUGCCUCAUCGUCACCAGUGUUUGACAUUUUACAGUUCAGUUGAAUUUCCCAAAAGGGGAGGGGAGAGGAAGGCCACUAAAAUGGAUUUUCCUGCUAAAUUUAAGCACCACGUUGGUUGGAACAAGUCAUUGCCAAGAUCCAGCAGCUGCUACUACUUGCAUUGCUAAGGAGAGCAAGCAGUGGAGACCACUGAUACUGUUCAGGUGAAGAAAGAGAGGUGCAGCCACGCAUUGCCCAUGCUGUUUUUGUGGAAGCCAAUCAAGUGUUACUGGUAACUGAAUGGCAUUAAUUUCAGUGCCUGCUACAUUGGAGGGACAUCAGGCAUGACAAGAGCAGCCACCGAAGAUAAGAUCCUCACAGAGAAGUUGUCUCUUGGCCAGAUGUGCUGAUGUGCUGCACUCCAAUGAGAUCUUUCUAAACACCUCUCCAGGCAUGUUUUUGUUUUUUCACUCCACAAGUGCCUCUGACUAGACCUCCUACAAAGCAGGAACGUUCUCUAGCACAGGUCCAAAACAAAAGGGAGGAAAAACUGUGGCCCUUGCCUCUAAGAAUUUUUUUGUUCAAAUAUUUUCUCAUUUUUAAAAUUGGCUUUCUUAUCCAUUAUAUCUCAUUAUCCACUAUAUCUGACUUUACAUCUUUAAUACUUCCACAGCUGUAACUGAGAAGCACAUAUGUUAUAGUGUGCUUGCAGUACAUUCAAAUAGUACUCUUAAGCAGUUAAAAUAAAUGCUGGCUAACUGCAGUACCAGUUCUUACAGCACCUUCACAUCAUUCAAACACAUUUUCAAUCAUGUUAUAUUUGUUGUCUUUUUAGUCUUUUAUCAUCCAUAUAAAAACGGUGAAUGGGUUGCAUUGUGACUGUUGAAGUCUCAUGAGGGCUUUUCAAAACUGCUUUAUUAACAGAGAGGUUUUCAUCUUUGGGUUCCACGUGCAAGGAGGUAAGGAAUUCUUAAAGCCCUUCUCCAACUGCAUUGCAACUGUUUGCAUCACCACUGGUUACCUACUGCCUGGAAUAACAUUCCUUCCUUGACCUGGACUUGGAGCUUUAGUUGUAUUUGUCAUACUUGCAAUUAUUUCUAAGUACUUUUAUGCUGUGUUUAAAUAGGUAUGGAGAUUUUACAUUUCUGGUGAAAGGCAUUUUCUGUGUUUGACUCCACAUCUGUUAUAGGAGUUACCUGAGCAAAGGACAAAACUAUUGAUUUGAUAAUUACUUCUUCCAUCAAAAACAAUUACCCUUCAGCAUCGAGUCUUAAGUUUUUUUCUGCUUAUAGACAACAGCCAAGAAGUUUUCUUAAAUGUUUCUUUUUUUCUUUUUUU
Non-coding RNA from Phasianus colchicus (ring-necked pheasant), 4788 nucleotides. Lineage: Eukaryota; Metazoa; Chordata; Aves; Galliformes; Phasianidae. The record is from RefSeq and is a predicted model, not a curated record.